AAGUCGAGCGGCAAGGGUAGCAAUACCCCNUAGAGCGGCGGACUGGUGAGUAACGCGUGGGUGACUUACCCUUAGGUUGGGGGAUAGCCAUUAGAAAUAGUGGGUAAUACCGAAUAUGGUUGUUUUGCUAUGGCGAGACAAAGAAAGGAGCCUUGGCUCCGCCUGAGGAUGGGCCCGCGUCCCAUUAGGUAGUUGGUGAGGUAAAGGCCCACCAAGCCCGAGAUGGGUAGCCGGCCUGAGAGGGUGAACGGCCACACUGGGACUGAGAUACGGCCCAGACUCCUACGGGAGGCAGCAGCUAAGAAUAUUCCGCAAUGGACGAAAGUCUGACGGAGCGACGCCGCGUGUAUGAAGAAGGCCGAAAGGUUGUAAAGUACUUUUCUUGCUGAAGAAUAAGCGUGGGAGGGAAUGCCCGCGUGAUGACGGUAAGCAAGGAAUAAGCCCCGGCUAAUUACGUGCCAGCAGCCGCGGUAACACGUAAGGGGCGAGCGUUGUUCGGAAUUAUUGGGCGUAAAGGGCGCGUAGGCGGUUACGUAAGUCUGGCGUGAAAGGCAGGGGCUUAACUCCUGGACUGCGCUGGAAACUGCAUAACUUGAGUCAUGGAGGGGGAGUUGGAAUUCCUGGUGUAGGGGUGAAAUCUGUAGAUAUCAGGAAGAACACCGGUGGCGAAGGCGAACUUCUAGCCAAUGACUGACGCUGAGGCGCGAAAG
Molecule: ribosomal RNA, 710 nt
Filed under: uncultured spirochete
Lineage: Bacteria; Pseudomonadati; Spirochaetota; Spirochaetia; Spirochaetales
Description: bacterial SSU rRNA
Rfam family: Bacterial small subunit ribosomal RNA
Source: RNAcentral